CACUAACAUCUAAGUGAAUUAACUUCAACAACUUUGUGAUUCUUUCUUCCUUUCCAAAAGAAUAAAGAUUCAAACAUUUUGCCUCUAUACAAUUUUAACAAGAAGGUAUUGGAUCCGGAUCUAACGAUCCAAAGCAUCCAUCUAUGACCAACUCGUAAUUUAUGUUUUAGAGGUAUCACAACUCAGUUGGGAUUAGUCACUACCUUGCAACCUUUUGGGUUUUAAGUGAUAGGAGCAUAUUUAUGCGACUUAGUUGGCUUGUUCUUGUGCAUUUAUGUCGUGUUUCUUUAGUUAUUUUAGUGUUUAAAGCCAUUUUCAUUUGUUUGUAGGUCUUAAUAACAAC
This 343-nucleotide long non-coding RNA is filed under the name Malus domestica (apple). RNAcentral describes it as "long non-coding RNA (MDOM_LNC009194)". Lineage: Eukaryota; Viridiplantae; Streptophyta; Magnoliopsida; Rosales; Rosaceae. The record is from RNAcentral.